Molecule: small nuclear RNA, 108 nt
Organism: Pteronotus mesoamericanus
Lineage: Eukaryota; Metazoa; Chordata; Mammalia; Chiroptera; Mormoopidae
Source: RefSeq, a predicted model, not a curated record
GUGCUCACUUCGGCAGCAUGUAUACUAAAAUUUGGAACGAUACCAAGAAGAUUAGCAUGGCCCCUGUACAACGGUGGCAUGCAAAUUCAUGAACCUUUCCAUAUUUUU